This 503-nucleotide ribosomal RNA is filed under the name uncultured bacterium. Its description in RNAcentral is "bacterial SSU rRNA". It matches the Rfam family "Bacterial small subunit ribosomal RNA", at positions 28 to 507 of the family's 1533-position model. The record is from RNAcentral.
AAUGAACGCUGGCGGCGUGCUUAACACAUGCAAGUCGAGCGAGAAAGCUCCCUUCGGGGGGUGAGUAAAGCGGCGGACGGGUGAGUAACACGUGGGCAACCUACCUCGGAGCGGGGGAUAACUUGGGGAAACUCGAGCUAAUACCGCGUACGUCUCGAGGGCUUCGGCCCGAGAGGGAAAGCUGGCCUCUACAUGUAAGCUGGCACUCCGAGAGGGGCCCGCGCCCGAUUAGCUUGAUGGUGGGGUAACGGCCCACCAUGGCGACGAUCGGUAGCCGGCCUGAGAGGGCGAUCGGCCACACUGGGACUGAGACACGGCCCAGACUCCUACGGGAGGCAGCAGUGGGGAAUAUUGGACAAUGGGGGCAACCCUGAUCCAGCAACGCCGCGUGGAGGAAGAAGGCCUUCGGGUCGUAAACUCCUGUCAGGUGGGACGAAACAGCCUAGGUCAAUAGCCUAGGGUUUCUGACGGUACCACCAGAGGAAGCCCCGGCUAACUCCGUG